This 695-nucleotide long non-coding RNA is filed under the name Triticum aestivum (bread wheat). RNAcentral describes it as "long non-coding RNA (TAES_LNC025019)". Lineage: Eukaryota; Viridiplantae; Streptophyta; Magnoliopsida; Poales; Poaceae. The record is from RNAcentral.
UUGGAACUGCUAGUUACUUAGAUGUAUGCACUCUGUAUCAUGACCCUUCCUCUGUUUUCUCCAAACCAGAAAUGGCACGUGAGCAAAGGAUAUCAAGAAGCUUUUGGAUGUUGGGAAGCUUGGAGCUGAUGCUUCAAAUAAGCUGAUGGUUGUCUUUUGGAGAUGUUUCUAUGUUUAAUGCUUUAAAGUCUUUUGGCUGUACUGGACUAUUUAAACUUUGAACUAUGCUGUGAUGGUUGAACUGAUGCUGGACGGUUAAGGGUUUAUGUUAGAGGCAACUUUAUAACUAAUGUGUGCCUGUUAUGUUGGACUGUUAAGGGUUAUGUUGGAGGCAAUUUUAUAACUAAUGUGUGUCUGCUAUGUUGGAUUGUUAACUGUUAUGUUGGAGGCAACAUUAUAGCUAACGUGUGCCUAUUAUGUUGGGCAGAUUCAAUUUUCUUAAUCCCUAGAGCUUAUUUGCUAAAGUUUAUAAGAUCUCUCCUGAUGGUUGUUGUGUUGAUAUGUUUUGCUCUACUUUAUUUAAAGUUUUGUUCAAAUUUCGGCCGAAUUUCGGCCAAAUUUCGGUUAAAUUUUGGCCAAAUUUUCAAAUUUUGAUUUUGCAAUUUCGUCCGAGAUUUUGCCGAAUUUUUUGAAAUUCCCGAAAUUCGGCCAUUUCGGCCAAGGACGAAAAAAAAACACAAACCGAAAAUCAUUUC